This 211-nucleotide ribosomal RNA is filed under the name uncultured bacterium. Its description in RNAcentral is "partial 16S ribosomal RNA". It matches the Rfam family "Bacterial small subunit ribosomal RNA", at positions 524 to 735 of the family's 1533-position model. The record is from RNAcentral.
UACGGAGGAUCCAAGCGUUAUCCGGAAUCAUUGGGUUUAAAGGGUCCGUAGGCGGUUUGGUAAGUCAGUGGUGAAGCCCAUCGCUCAACGGUGGAACGGCCAUUGAUACUGCCAGACUUGAAUUAUUAGGAAGUAACUAGAAUAUGUAGUGUAGCGGUGAAAUGCUUAGAGAUUACAUGGAAUACCAAUUGCGAAGGCAGGUUACUACUAA